GAUGAACGCUGGCGGCGUGCCUAAUACAUGCGAGUCGAGCGAACAGAUGAGGAGCUUGCUCCUCUGACGUUAGCGGCGGACGGGUGAGUAACACGUGGAUAACCUACCUAUAAGACUGGGAUAACUUCGGGAAACCGGAGCUAAUACCGGAUAAUAUAUUGAACCGCAUGGUUUAAUAGUGAAAGACGGUUUUGCUGUCACUUAUAGAUGGAUCCGCGCCGCAUUAGCUAGUUGGUAAGGUAACGGCUUACCAAGGCAACGAUGCGUAGCCGACCUGAGAGGGUGAUCGGCCACACUGGAACUGAGACACGGUCCAGACUCCUACGGGAGGCAGCAGUAGGGAAUCUUCCGCAAUGGGCGAAAGCCUGACGGAGCAACGCCGCGUGAGUGAUGAAGGUCUUCGGAUCGUAAAACUCUGUUAUUAGGGAAGAACAAAUGUGUAAGUAACUAUGCACGUCUUGACGGUACCUAAUCAGAAAGCCACGGCUAACUACGUG
Molecule: ribosomal RNA, 497 nt
Filed under: uncultured bacterium
Lineage: Bacteria
Description: partial 16S ribosomal RNA
Rfam family: Bacterial small subunit ribosomal RNA
Source: RNAcentral